UACGAAGGGUGCAAGCGUUACUCGGAAUUACUGGGCGUAAAGGGUGCGUAGGCGGUUGUUUAAGUCUGCUGUGAAAGCCCCGGGCUCAACCUGGGAAUGGCAGUGGAUACUGGACAGCUAGAGUGCGGUAGAGGGUAGUGGAAUUCCCGGUGUAGCAGUGAAAUGCGUAGAGAUCGGGAGGAACACCAGUGGCGAAGGCGGCUACCUGGACCAGCACUGACACUGAAGCACGAAAGCGUGGGGAGAAAACAGG
RNAcentral lists this ribosomal RNA (253 nucleotides) under uncultured bacterium. RNAcentral's name for it is "partial 16S ribosomal RNA". It matches the Rfam family "Bacterial small subunit ribosomal RNA", at positions 524 to 776 of the family's 1533-position model. The record is from RNAcentral.